ACCGUGAGGGAAAGGUGAAAAGUACCCCGGAAGGGGAGUGAAAGAGAACUUGAAACCGUGUGCUUACAAGUAGUCAGAGCCCGUUAAUGGGUGAUGGCGUGCCUUUUGUAGAAUGAACCGGCGAGUUACGAUCUGAUGCAAGGUUAAGCAGGAAAUGUGGAGCCGUAGCGAAAGCGAGUCUGAAUAGGGCGAAUGAGUAUUUGGUCGUAGACCCGAAACCAGGUGAUCUACCCUUGGUCAGGUUGAAGUUCAGGUAACACUGAAUGGAGGACCGAACCGACUUACGUUGAAAAGUGAGCGGAUGAACUGAGGGUAGCGGAGAAAUUCCAAUCGAACUUGGAGAUAGCUGGUUCUCUCCGAAAUAGCUUUAGGGCUAGCCUCAAGUGAUGAUUAUUGGAGGUAGAGCACUGUUUGGACGAGGGGCCCCUCUCGGGUUACCGAAUUCAGACAAACUCCGAAUGCCAAAUAAUUUAACUUGGGAGUCAGAAUGUGGGUGAUAAGGUCCAUAUUCGAAAGGGAAACAGCCCAGACCACCAGCUAAGGUCCCAAAAUAUAUGUUAAGUGGAAAAGGAUGUGGCGUUGCCCAGACAACUAGGAUGUUGGCUUAGAAGCAGCCAUCAUUUAAAGAGUGCGUAAUAGCUCACUAGUCGAGUGACACUGCGCCGAAAAUGUACCGGGGCUAAACAUAUUACCGAAGCUGUGGAUUGUCCUUUGGACAAUGGUAGGAGAGCGUUCUAAGGGCGUUGAAGCAUGAUCGCAAGGACAUGUGGAGCGCUUAGAAGUGAGAAUGCCGGUGUGAGUAGCGAAAGACGGGUGAGAAUCCCGUCCACCGAUUGACUAAGGUUUCCAGAGGAAGGCUCGUCCGCUCUGGGUUAGUCGGGUCCUAAGCUGAGGCCGACAGGCGUAGGCGAUGGAUAACAGGUUGAUAUUCCUGUACCACCAUUAUUCGUUUUAAGCGAUGGGGGGACGCAGUAGGAUAGGCGAAGCGUGCUGUUGGAGUGCACGUCCAAGCAGUGAGAUUGAGUGUUAGGCAAAUCCGGCACUCUUAAGAUUGAGCUGUGAUGGGGAGAGGAACUUGUUCCUCGAGUCGUUGAUUUCACACUGCCGAGAAAAGCCUCUAGCUAGAAUAACGGUGCCCGUACCGCAAACCGACACAGGUAGUCAAGAUGAGAAUUCUAAGGUGAGCGAGCGAACUCUCGUUAAGGAACUCGGCAAAAUGACCCCGUAACUUCGGGAGAAGGGGUGCUCUUUGAGGUUCACGCUUCGAAGAGCCGCAGUGAAUAGGCCCAAGCGACUGUUUAUCAAAAACACAGGUCUCUGCUAAACCGUAAGGUGACGUAUAGGGGCUGACGCCUGCCCGGUGCUGGAAGGUUAAGAGGAGUGGUUAGCGCAAGCGAAGCUACGAAUCGAAGCCCCAGUAAACGGCGGCCGUAACUAUAACGGUCCUAAGGUAGCGAAAUUCCUUGUCGGGUAAGUUCCGACCCGCACGAAAGGCGUAACGAUUUGGGCACUGUCUCAACGAGAGACUCGGUGAAAUCAUAGUACCGGUGAAGAUGCCGGUUACCCGCGACAGGACGGAAAGACCCCGUGGAGCUUUACUGUAGCCUGAUAUUGAAAUUCGGUACAGUUUGUACAGGAUAGGUAGGAGCCUUAGAAGCGUGAGCGCUAGCUUACGUGGAGGCAUUGGUGGGAUACUACCCUAAUUGUAUUGGAUUUCUAACCCGCAGCACUUAUCGUGCUGGGAGACAGUGUCAGGCGGGCAGUUUGACUGGGGCGGUCGCCUCCUAAAGAGUAACGGAGGCGCUCAAAGGUUCCCUCAGAAUGGUUGGAAAUCAUUCAUAGAGUGUAAAGGCAUAAGGGAGCUUGACUGCGAGACCUACAAGUCGAGCAGGGUCGAAAGACGGACUUAGUGAUCCGGUGGUUCCGCAUGGAAGGGCCAUCGCUCAACGGAUAAAAGCUACCCCGGGGAUAACAGGCUUAUCUCCCCCAAGAGUUCACAUCGACGGGGAGGUUUGGCACCUCGAUGUCGGCUCAUCGCAUCCUGGGGCUGUAGUCGGUCCCAAGGGUUGGGCUGUUCGCCCAUUAAAGCGGUACGCGAGCUGGGUUCAGAACGUCGUGAGACAGUUCGGUCCCUAUCCGUCGUGGGCGUAGGAAAUUUGAGAGGAGCUGUCCUUAGUACGAGAGGACCGGGAUGGACAUACCUCUGGUGUACCAGUUGUCGUGCCAACGGCAUAGCUGGGUAGCUAUGUAUGGACGGGAUAAGUGCUGAAAGCAUCUAAGCAUGAAGCCCCCCUCGAGAUGAGAUUUCCCAACUUCGGUUAUAAGAUCCCUCAAAGAUGAUGAGGUGAAU
Molecule: ribosomal RNA, 2350 nt
Filed under: Staphylococcus pseudintermedius
Lineage: Bacteria; Bacillati; Bacillota; Bacilli; Caryophanales; Staphylococcaceae
Description: partial 23S ribosomal RNA
Rfam family: Bacterial large subunit ribosomal RNA
Source: RNAcentral